CACUAGUCACCCCCUCACUCUAGUGACAGAGUGAGGGACGGGGUGACUAGUGACAGAGUGAGAGAGAGGGUGACUAGUGACAGAGUGAGGAAGGGGCUGACACAGUGACAGAGUGAGGGAGGGGGUGACUAGUGACAGAGUGAAGGAGGUGGUGACUGUCACUAGUCACACCCUUCCCUCCCUCACUCUGUCACUAGUCACCACCUCCCUCUGUCACUACUCCCUCCCUCCUUCUGUCACUAGUCACCACCUCCCUCUGUCACUACUCAAUCCCUCCUUCUGUCACUAGUCACCCCCUUUGUCCCUUACUCUGUCACUAGUCACCCCCUAACUCACUCUGU
Non-coding RNA from Pelobates cultripes (western spadefoot toad), 341 nucleotides. Lineage: Eukaryota; Metazoa; Chordata; Amphibia; Anura; Pelobatidae. The record is from the annotation of a GenBank genome assembly.